AGUGAACGCUGGCGGUAGGCCUAACACAUGCAAGUCGAACGGCAGCACAGAGGAGCUUGCUCCUUGGGUGGCGAGUGGCGGACGGGUGAGGAAUACAUCGGAAUCUACUCUGUCGUGGGGGAUAACGUAGGGAAACUUACGCUAAUACCGCAUACGACCUACGGGUGAAAGCAGGGGACCUUCGGGCCUUGCGCGAUUGAAUGAGCCGAUGUCGGAUUAGCUAGUUGGCGGGGUAAAGGCCCACCAAGGCGACGAACCGUAGCUGGUCUGAGAGAAUGCUCAGCCACACUGGAACUGAGACACGGUCCAGACUCCUGCGGGAGGCAGCACUGGGGAAUAUUGGACAAUGGGCGCAAGCCUGAUCCAGCCAUACCGCGUGGGUGAAGAAGGCCUUCGGGUUAUAAAGCCCUUUUGUUGGGAAAGAAAUCCAGCUGGCUAAUACCCGGUUGGGAUGACGGUACCCAAAGAAUAAGCACCGGCUAACUUCGUGCCAGCCGCCGCAGUAA
RNAcentral lists this ribosomal RNA (506 nucleotides) under uncultured bacterium. RNAcentral's name for it is "partial 16S ribosomal RNA". It matches the Rfam family "Bacterial small subunit ribosomal RNA", at positions 29 to 523 of the family's 1533-position model. The record is from RNAcentral.